Molecule: ribosomal RNA, 465 nt
Filed under: uncultured bacterium
Lineage: Bacteria
Description: partial 16S ribosomal RNA
Rfam family: Bacterial small subunit ribosomal RNA
Source: RNAcentral
AAUCAACGCUGGCGGCGUGCCUCAGACAUGCAAGUCGAACGAUUAAACUUCCCUUCGGGGUAGAUAUAAAGUGGCGCACGGGUGAGUAACACGUAGGUAAUGUACCUUUGGGUGGGGAAUAACUUAGGGAAACUUAAGCUAAUACCUCAUAAUGCAGCGGCUCCUUCGGGAGACAGUUGUUAAAGAUUUAUCGCCUAAAGAGCAGCCUGCGGCAGAUUAGCUAGUUGGUAAGGUAACGGGUUACCAAGGCUACGAUCUGUAUCCGACAGGAGAGGGUGGUCGGACACUCUUACACUGACUAGCGGGUCAGACUCCUACGGGAGGCAGCAGUCGGGAAUUUUGGGCAAUGGGCGAAAGCCUGACCCAGCAACGACGCGUGAAGGAUGAAGUCUUUCGGGAUGUAAACUUCGUAAGAAUAGGAAGAAUAUGUGACGGUCCUAUGUGUAAGGACCGGCUAACUACGUG